This 253-nucleotide ribosomal RNA is filed under the name uncultured bacterium. Its description in RNAcentral is "partial 16S ribosomal RNA". It matches the Rfam family "Bacterial small subunit ribosomal RNA", at positions 524 to 776 of the family's 1533-position model. The record is from RNAcentral.
UACGUAGGGUGCGAGCGUUAAUCGGAAUUACUGGGCGUAAAGCGUGCGCAGGCGGUUUUGUAAGACCGAUGUGAAAUCCCCGGGCUUAACCUGGGAACUGCAUCGGUGACUGCAAGGCUUGAGUGUGUCAGAGGGAGGUGGAAUUCCGCGUGUAGCAGUGAAAUGCGUAGAUAUGCGGAGGAACACCGAUGGCGAAGGCAGCCUCCUGGGAUAACACUGACGCUCAUGCACGAAAGCGUGGGGAGCAAACAGG